AACGCACAUUGCGCCCUCUGGUGUUCCGGAGGGCAUGCCUGUUCGAGCGUCAUUACAACCCUCAAGCCUAGCUUGGUGUUGGGCCUCCGUCGCAUUGGACGGGCCUGAAAAUCAGUGGCAAUGCCCUUCCAGCUUCAAGCGUAGUAGAUCUAUCUUCGUCUUGGGUAGUUGGAUGGUGCGGUUCGCCAAAACCAAAACCUCUGGUUUUAUCUUCUGGUUGACCUCGGAUCAGGUAGGAAUACUCGCUGAACUUAA
Molecule: unclassified non-coding RNA, 255 nt
Filed under: uncultured fungus
Lineage: Eukaryota; Fungi
Description: partial contains 5.8S ribosomal RNA, internal transcribed spacer 2, and large subunit ribosomal RNA
Source: RNAcentral